UAUUAACCAUAACUAUUUCUUCCCGGCUGAAAGAGCUUUACAACCCGAAGGCCUUCUUCACUCACGCGGCAUGGCUGGAUCAGGGUUGCCCCCAUUGUCCAAAAUUCCCCACUGCUGCCUCCCGUAGGAGUCUGGGCCGUGUCUCAAUCCCAGUGUGGCUGGUCGUCCUC
RNAcentral lists this ribosomal RNA (170 nucleotides) under uncultured Nitrosospira sp. B5. RNAcentral describes it as "partial 16S ribosomal RNA". The record is from RNAcentral. Lineage: Bacteria; Pseudomonadati; Pseudomonadota; Betaproteobacteria; Nitrosomonadales; Nitrosomonadaceae.